CGAAGCAACGCGAAGAACCUUACCAGGCCUUGACAUGCAGAGAACUUCCAGAGAUGGAUUGGUGCCUUCGGGAACUCUGACACAGGUGCUGCAUGGCUGCCGUCAGCUCGUGUCGUGAGAUGUUGGGUUAAGUCCCGUAACGAGCGCAACCCUUGUCCUUAGUUACCAGCACGUUAUGGUGGGCACUCUAAGGAGACUGCCGGUGACAAACCGGAGGAAGGUGGGGAUGACGUCAAGUCAUCAUGGCCCUUACGGCCUGGGCUACACACGUGCUACAAUGGUCGGUACAAAGGGUUGCCAAGCCGCGAGGUGGAGCUAAUCCCAUAAAACCGAUCGUAGUCCGGAUCGCAGUCUGCAACUCGACUGCGUGAAGUCGGAAUCGCUAGUAAUCGUGAAUCAGAAUGUCACGGUGAAUACGUUCCCGGGCCUU
Molecule: ribosomal RNA, 430 nt
Filed under: uncultured Pseudomonas sp.
Lineage: Bacteria; Pseudomonadati; Pseudomonadota; Gammaproteobacteria; Pseudomonadales; Pseudomonadaceae
Description: bacterial SSU rRNA
Rfam family: Bacterial small subunit ribosomal RNA
Source: RNAcentral